This 591-nucleotide long non-coding RNA is filed under the name Bos indicus x Bos taurus (hybrid cattle). RNAcentral describes it as "lncRNA (ENSBIXG00000011855.1)". The record is from RNAcentral. Lineage: Eukaryota; Metazoa; Chordata; Mammalia; Artiodactyla; Bovidae.
CCAGAGUUCCCUUCUUUGCUGCUUCCUGCCCUUGUGCCACCCUCAUAUCCCUGUUGGUUACAGAACAGGGAGGGAGACAGCUGGGUGGUCUGACUGAGACUUCAGUAUUUCAGAGGGGGCUCAAGAGAAGAGAGGAAACUGACACCGCUUUGUUGAUAAUUAAGCCAGAUUUUUGUUGUUUUGUGGAAGUUGACAAGUUGCUAAAAAAGAAUUCAAAGUAAGUAAAGAGGUCAUGAGAAAGUCACAGUGGAAACCAGUUCCAGGCAAGAAACAAUCCUAUAAAUUUUGCUAUUUCAUUGAAGAUCCUCAGGAACAAAAGGAACAACAUCAGACAUCAGAUGGUAAAUUUUCUGAAAUCCUGUAAACCUCCUCCCAACCUGAGUAGAAUGACUACUCUCCUGUUGUCUUAAUAUUCUCUGCUUUUUAAUCUGAUGUCAGUCACAUGUUCAUGCUUCUCCUGGGGGGUCUACCUUUACUUUCUCAAUUAACAUCUUACAGACUUUUCCCAGAUUAAGUUUCUCUUCUUACAACUUCCCUCUUUCUGCAUUUUCCAUAUUCCUUUCUUUUCAUUCCAAAGUGCUCCUUCCCUAU